RNAcentral lists this ribosomal RNA (253 nucleotides) under uncultured bacterium. RNAcentral describes it as "partial 16S ribosomal RNA". It matches the Rfam family "Bacterial small subunit ribosomal RNA", at positions 524 to 776 of the family's 1533-position model. The record is from RNAcentral.
UACGGGGGGGGCAAGCGUUGUUCGGAAUUACUGGGCGUAAAGCGUGCGCAGGCGGUUUUGUAAGCCAGAUGUGAAAGCCCCGGGCUUAACCUGGGAAUGGCAUUUGGGACUGCAAGGCUUGAGUGCGGCAGAGGAGACUGGAAUUCCUGGUGUAGCAGUGAAAUGCGUAGAUAUCAAGUGGAACACCAGUGGCGAAGGCGAGUCUCUGGACAUUUCCUGACGCUGAGGCACGAAAGCCAGGGGAGCAAACGGG